GAUGAACGCUGGCGGCGUGCCUAAUACAUGCAAGUCGAGCGAACGGACGAGAAGCUUGCUUCUCUGAUGUUAGCGGCGGACGGGUAAGUAACACGUGUAUAACCUACCUAUAAGACUGGGAUAACUUCGGGAAACCGGAGCUAAUACCGGAUAAUAUUUUGAACCGCAUGGUUCAAAAGUGAAAGACGGUCUUGCUGUCACUUAUAGAUGGAUCCGCGCUGCAUUAGCUAGUUGGUAAGGUAACGGCUUACCAAGGCAACGAUGCAUAGCCGACCUGAGAGGGUGAUCGGCCACACUGGAACUGAAACACGGUCAAGACUCCUACGGGAGGCAGCAGUAGGGAAUCUGCCGCAAUAGGCGAGAGCAUGACGGAGCAACGCCGCGUGAGUGAUGAAGGUCUUCGGAUCGUAAAACUCUGUUAUUAGGGAAGAACAUAUGUGUAAGUAACUGUGCACAUCUUGACGGUACCUAAUCAGAAAGCCACGGCUAACUACGUG
Molecule: ribosomal RNA, 497 nt
Filed under: uncultured bacterium
Lineage: Bacteria
Description: partial 16S ribosomal RNA
Rfam family: Bacterial small subunit ribosomal RNA
Source: RNAcentral